RNAcentral lists this ribosomal RNA (607 nucleotides) under uncultured bacterium. RNAcentral describes it as "bacterial SSU rRNA". It matches the Rfam family "Bacterial small subunit ribosomal RNA", at positions 8 to 604 of the family's 1533-position model. The record is from RNAcentral.
AGAGUUUGAUCCUGGCUCAGAUUGAACGCUGGCGGCAGGCCUAACACAUGCAAGUCGAGCGGUAGCACGAGAGAGCUUGCUCUCUGGGUGACGAGCGGCGGACGGGUGAGUAAUGUCUGGGAAACUGCCUGAUGGAGGGGGAUAACUACUGGAAACGGUAGCUAAUACCGCAUAACGUCUACGGACCAAAGUGGGGGACCUUCGGGCCUCACGCCAUCAGAUGUGCCCAGAUGGGAUUAGCUAGUAGGUGGGGUAAUGGCUCACCUAGGCGACGAUCCCUAGCUGGUCUGAGAGGAUGACCAGCCACACUGGAACUGAGACACGGUCCAGACUCCUACGGGAGGCAGCAGUGGGGAAUAUUGCACAAAGGGCGCAAGCCUGAUGCAGCCAUGCCGCGUGUGUGAAGAAGGCCUUAGGGUUGUAAAGCACUUUCAGCGAGGAGGAAGGGUUCAGUGUUAAUAGCACUGUUCAUUGACGUUACUCGCAGAAGAAGCACCGGCUAACUCCGUGCCAGCAGCCGCGGUAAUACGGAGGGUGCAAGCGUUAAUCGGAAUUACUGGGCGUGAAGCGCACGCAGGCGGUUUGUUAAGUCGGAUGUGAAAUCCCC